UCUUCUUUUCCUCUUCUUCUUCUUCUUCUUCUUCUUCUUCUUCUUCUUCUUCUUCUUCUUCUCCUCCUCCUCCUCCUCCUCCUACUCCUCUUCUUCUCCUCCUCUUCUUGUCCUCCUCCUCCUCCUCUUCUCCUCUUCUCCUCCUCCACCUAACUAACCAAGCUAACUAACUAACCUAACUAAAACUACUAACCUAACUAAAUCUACCACUAAAACUACUAACAAUAACAACUACUAAAACUACUAAAAUAAU
Molecule: long non-coding RNA, 253 nt
Filed under: Hordeum vulgare
Lineage: Eukaryota; Viridiplantae; Streptophyta; Magnoliopsida; Poales; Poaceae
Description: long non-coding RNA (HVUL_LNC002909)
Source: RNAcentral